This 800-nucleotide ribosomal RNA is filed under the name uncultured Bacteroidota bacterium. Its description in RNAcentral is "bacterial SSU rRNA". It matches the Rfam family "Bacterial small subunit ribosomal RNA", at positions 12 to 809 of the family's 1533-position model. Lineage: Bacteria; Pseudomonadati; Bacteroidota. The record is from RNAcentral.
UUUGAUCCUGGCUCAGGAUGAACGCUAGCGGCAGGCCUAAUACAUGCAAGUCGAACGGUAAAUAUUUUAGCAAUAGAAUAUGAGAGUGACGUACGGGUGCGUAACACGUAUGCAACCUACCCUUUACAGGAGUAUAGCUCGGGGAAACUCGGAUUAAAACUUCAUAAUAUAUCUGGAUGGCAUCGUUUGGAUAUUAAAUCUACGGAGGUAAAGGAUGGGCAUGCGUCUGAUUAGUUAGUUGGCGGGGUAACGGCCCACCAAGACGAUGAUCAGUAGGGGAACUGAGAGGUUGAUCCCCUACACUGGCACUGAGAUACGGGCCAGACUCCUACGGGAGGCAGCAGUAGGGAAUAUUGGUCAAUGGAUGGAAGUCUGAACCAGCCAUGCCGCGUGCAGGAAGACGGCCUUCUGGGUUGUAAACUGCUUUUGCCAGGGGCUAAAAAGCUCAUGCGUGAGAAAUUGAAAGUACCUGGUGAAUAAGCCACGGCUAACUACGUGCCAGCAGCCGCGGUAAUACGUAGGUGGCAAGCGUUGUCCGGAUUUAUUGGGUUUAAAGGGUGCGUAGGCGGCCUAUUAAGUCAGUGCUGAAAUAUUUCGGCUCAACCGAGAGGGUGGCAUUGAUACUGAUGGGCUUGAGUACAGAUGAGGUAGGCGGAAUUGACGGUGUAGCGGUGAAAUGCAUAGAUAUCGUCAAGAACACCUAUAGCGAAGGCAGCUUACUAAGCUGUAACUGACGCUGAGGCACGAAAGUGUGGGGAUCAAACAGGAUUAGAUACCCUGGUAGUCCACACUGUAAACGU